GUAAAAUUGGGGAACGGUGAAAGGAGUAAAGAGGUAGAGGUACAGAAAUUGAGGCCCACCCCCAUUCACAACCUUUUUUAAGGUUCCCAAGCCACAAUAUCCGGCACUUUGUUUAACGCAAUGAUAAUUGUUUUAAUGUCUCAUUAGCACAUAGACUACGAUUCUACGACCACGGCGAAUCUAUGCGCUGACCAAGAUAAAAAUGAC
Long non-coding RNA from Cephus cinctus (wheat stem sawfly), 207 nucleotides. RefSeq lists it as uncharacterized. The record is from RefSeq and is a predicted model, not a curated record. The transcript has 2 exons. NCBI's taxonomy places the organism in Eukaryota, Metazoa, Arthropoda, Insecta, Hymenoptera, Cephidae.